RNAcentral lists this unclassified non-coding RNA (405 nucleotides) under soil metagenome. RNAcentral's name for it is "partial contains 5.8S ribosomal RNA, internal transcribed spacer 2, and large subunit ribosomal RNA". The stretch from base 2 to 123 matches the Rfam family "5.8S ribosomal RNA", at positions 35 to 154 of the family's 154-position model. The record is from RNAcentral.
GGAUGAAGAACGUAGCAAAAUGCGAUACUUGGUGUGAAUUGCAGAAUCCCGUGAACCAUCGAGUUUUUGAACGCAAGUUGCGCCCGAAGCCUUUUGGCCGAGGGCACGUCUGCCUGGGCGUCACGCAUCGCGUCGCCCCCCACAAUUCUCCGUAAAGGGAACAUGUGUUUUGGGGGCGGAUAUUGGUCUCCCGUGCUCAUGGCGUGGUUGGCCGAAAUAGGAGUCCUUUCGAUGGACGCACGAACUAGUGGUGGUCGUAAAAACCCUCGUCUUUUGUUUCGUGCUGUUGCUCGCAAGGUAAACUCUUUAAAAACCCCAAUGUGUCGUCUCUUGACGACGCUUCGACCGCGACCCCAGGUCAGGCGGGACUACCCGCUGAGUUUAAGCAUAUCAAUAAGCGGAGGA